RNAcentral lists this unclassified non-coding RNA (433 nucleotides) under Lithophragma cymbalaria. RNAcentral describes it as "partial miscellaneous RNA". Lineage: Eukaryota; Viridiplantae; Streptophyta; Magnoliopsida; Saxifragales; Saxifragaceae. The record is from RNAcentral.
AAAUGCGUGGGUGGACAGGCUCCCUGCUUGUGCAGCGAACUGUUUUACAUGCGCAUCAUCAAGUCUGACCCAAUUGCUUAGAUAGCAUCAUUGGGCUUCGUUUGGUUUCUGUGUUGGCUACCACCUAGUUGGAAGAGAGUGUCCCUUAUGUUUGUCUUUGUAUCGGCUUGCACCCUAUUWGUGGAAUGCUCGAUGAUCCUAGUAAUGCUUCUCGUUUUCCAUUGUCUCUACCAUAGUGUAGUUGUCGCAAUGGCAUAUGGGAAAGCAUUCGUAAUCUCGGUUGUGGAAUGCGGAAUUGGGUAUUGGGUUGAAUAAACCUUUUAUCCCAAGCAAGGCGUUUUACGCUUGGCACGUACGACACUUGCACUCGCGUUGACCUUUCCCAACUUGUUUGAUGGGGGGGCUCAUGUGAUGCAGUUGUCAUAAAGGAAUG